ACCUUCUUAGUACAAGAGUAUGUCUGGCUUCCAACCAGAAGGUCUAAGUAUAGCUUAGAGUAGGUA
This 66-nucleotide transfer RNA is filed under the name Sicyonia lancifer. RNAcentral describes it as "tRNA-Gly". It matches the Rfam family "tRNA". Rfam says of the family: Transfer RNA (tRNA) molecules are approximately 80 nucleotides in length. Their secondary structure includes four short double-helical elements and three loops (D, anti-codon, and T loops). Further hydrogen bonds mediate the characteristic L-shaped molecular structure. tRNAs have two regions of fundamental functional importance: the anti-codon, which is responsible for specific mRNA codon recognition, and the 3' end, to which the tRNAs corresponding amino acid is attached (by aminoacyl-tRNA synthetases). tRNAs cope with the degeneracy of the genetic code in two manners: having more than one tRNA (with a specific anti-codon) for a particular amino acid; and 'wobble' base-pairing, i.e. permitting non-standard base-pairing at the 3rd anti-codon position. Lineage: Eukaryota; Metazoa; Arthropoda; Malacostraca; Decapoda; Sicyoniidae. The record is from RNAcentral.